UGGGGAAUCUUGGACAAUGGGCGCAAGCCUGAUCCAGCCAUGCCGCGUGAGUGAUGAAGGCCUUAGGGUUGUAAAACUCUUUCGCCGAGGACGAUAAUGACGGUACUCGGAGAAGAAGCUCCGGCUAACUUCGUGCCAGCAGCCGCGGUAAUACGAAGGGGGCUAGCGUUGUUCGGAUUUACUGGGCGUAAAGCGCGUGUAGGCGGGUCGUUAAGUUGGGGGUGAAAUCCCGAGGCUCAACCUCGGAACUGCCUCCAAAACUGGCGACCUGGAGCAAGAUAGAGGCGAGUGGAAUUCCGAGUGUAGAGGUGAAAUUCGUAGAUAUUCGGAGGAACACCAGUGGCGAAGGCGACUCGCUGGAUCUUUGCUGACGCUGAGACGCGAAAGCGUGGGGAGCAAACAGGAUUAGAUACCCCCGUAGUCCCUGAGCGGGCUGGCAAGGCGCAU
Molecule: ribosomal RNA, 447 nt
Filed under: uncultured bacterium
Lineage: Bacteria
Description: bacterial SSU rRNA
Rfam family: Bacterial small subunit ribosomal RNA
Source: RNAcentral